Molecule: long non-coding RNA, 624 nt
Organism: Mangifera indica (mango)
Lineage: Eukaryota; Viridiplantae; Streptophyta; Magnoliopsida; Sapindales; Anacardiaceae
Exons: 2
Source: RefSeq, a predicted model, not a curated record
GUGGCGUCAACUCAUACCUUUGGUUCAUGUCAAUUAUAGACAUCGGGUCAUUGUUUUUAUACUUUUGGUUCAUGAUUAUCCAUAAUCAUUGGGUCAAGGGUUUUUAUAAUUUUGGUUCGUGUCAAUUAUAGGUAUUGGGUCAAGGUUAAUUACGUGACGAAACUGAUUCAAUCCUGGGAAAAUAGCUUCUUGAGUGUUGGGUCUUACGUCAAAUCAUCAAGGUUCACAUCAGUUGGUAUCAGAGCCGAAUCGAAUCAGGUUACAAUCAUGUCAUCAUGCCAAAAUAAAAGUUCUACUAAAAGUGAUGAUUUGAGGACAAAUCAUUUUAAAGAGAGGGGGAAUGAUGUGAUCCAUAGAAGACCAAGAACAUGCGAUCUAAUAAUGAAAAACUAUGACAAGAGUGUGGUAGGCUGUAUAACACUGUAAACAUUGAAGACAUAAGCUAAAGGUAAGAAGCAUGAUAUGGCAAUCAAAGAUGACGUGGAGAGCAUCAAACACAUAGAAAAUGAUAUGGCACAUCCUUGGUGACGUUUUUACUUGACAAAAUAUGAAAUGGAAGCUUAAUUAGGCAAAAAUUCAUGUGAAGAAAGCAAGGGAAUUCAAUUGAAGUUCAAUUUCCUAGUA